UUUCGCAAUGCCCGAAAGGGUGACGAAGCGACGCCGCGUGGGUGAGGAAGGCCUUCGGGUUGUAAAGCCCUGUCAGGAGUUAUGAAAUGUAAGUGCGCUAAUAUCGUGCUUAUUUGACAAAGGCUCCAAAGGAAGCCACGGCUAACUCUGUGCCAGCAGCCGCGGUAAUACAGAGGUGGCGAGCGUUGUUCGGAACUAUUGGGCGUAAAGAGCACGUAGGUGGGUUUGCAAGUCAGAUGUGAAAGCCUUCUGUUCAACGGAAGAAUUGCAUCUGAAACUGCUAAUCUUGAGUAUAGGAGGGGAGAAUGGAACUUCUGGUGGAGCGGUGAAAUGCGUAGAUAUCAGAAGGAACGCCGGCGGCGAAAGCGAUUCUCUGGCCUAUUACUGACACCCAGUGUGCGAAAGCUAGGGGAGCAAACGGGAUUAGAUACCCCGGUAGUCCUAGCCGUAAACGAUGGGCACUAAGUAGAGGGGUUUUA
Molecule: ribosomal RNA, 479 nt
Filed under: uncultured anaerobic ammonium-oxidizing bacterium
Lineage: Bacteria
Description: bacterial SSU rRNA
Rfam family: Bacterial small subunit ribosomal RNA
Source: RNAcentral